This 254-nucleotide ribosomal RNA is filed under the name uncultured bacterium. Its description in RNAcentral is "partial 16S ribosomal RNA". It matches the Rfam family "Bacterial small subunit ribosomal RNA", at positions 524 to 776 of the family's 1533-position model. The record is from RNAcentral.
UACGGGGGGGGCAAGCGUUGUUCGGAAUUACUGGGCGUAAAGGGCUCGUAGGCGGCCAACUAAGUCAGACGUGAAAUCCCUCGGCUUAACCGGGGAACUGCGUCUGAUACUGGAUGGCUUGAGUUUGGGAGAGGGAUGCGGAAUUCCAGGUGUAGCGGUGAAAUGCGUAGAUAUCUGGAGAAACACCGGUGGCGAAGGCGGCAUCCUGGACCAACACUGACGCUGAGUGAGCGAAAGCCAGGGGAGCAAACGGG